Molecule: long non-coding RNA, 130 nt
Organism: Cucurbita moschata (crookneck pumpkin)
Lineage: Eukaryota; Viridiplantae; Streptophyta; Magnoliopsida; Cucurbitales; Cucurbitaceae
Exons: 2
Source: RefSeq, a predicted model, not a curated record
UGUAUUUUCAUAUUCUAGUGUUUUACUUUUGUAUUUCUAGGAAGUACGACGUUUUAGAAAUAUCAUGUUUAGGCCUGCCAGACAUGAAAUGCUUUAGAAUGUUAUAUAUUGUGAGCCGUUGUUAUUUCUC